GCAAGUCGUGCGAGAAAGUCGACUUCGGUCGAUGAGUAGAGCGGCGAACGGGUGAGUAACAUGUGGGUAACCUGCCUAGGAGCGGGGGAUAACCUGGGGAAACUCGGGCUAAUACCGCAUACGUUCUCGGCGUCAUGGCGCCGAGAGGAAAGCUGGCCAAUUCUUGAAAGCUAGCACUCCUAGAGGGGUCCGCGCUCGAUUAGCUUGUUGGUGGGGUAAUGGCCUACCAAGGCUGCGAUCGAUAGCCGGCCUGAGAGGGCGAUC
Molecule: ribosomal RNA, 264 nt
Filed under: uncultured bacterium
Lineage: Bacteria
Description: partial 16S ribosomal RNA
Rfam family: Bacterial small subunit ribosomal RNA
Source: RNAcentral